This is a non-coding RNA of Trichobilharzia regenti, 46 nucleotides long. Lineage: Eukaryota; Metazoa; Platyhelminthes; Trematoda; Strigeidida; Schistosomatidae. The record is from Rfam.
GUACUGAUGAAGAGUCCCAAACUAGGAUGAAGCAGCUGUCCAGUAC